AACAGUAGAGGUGCGGUAUUUAAGAGUAGAACGGACAAUCUGCGGACAUGGCAGCCGUUUGAAAGGAACUACCGCCGAAAUAUACAGCCGGCUGUUCAAGGCUGUAUGUUGGGUUGCAGGAGAAUAUCUUGCAGACUGUCACUUUUGUGAAGCGCUAUCUGU
RNAcentral lists this non-coding RNA (162 nucleotides) under human gut metagenome. Its description in RNAcentral is "Lysine riboswitch". It matches the Rfam family "Lysine riboswitch aptamer". Rfam says of the family: Riboswitches are metabolite binding domains within certain messenger RNAs that serve as precision sensors for their corresponding targets. Allosteric rearrangement of mRNA structure is mediated by ligand binding, and this results in modulation of gene expression. This family includes riboswitches that sense lysine in a number of genes involved in lysine metabolism, including lysC. The record is from RNAcentral.